This 675-nucleotide ribosomal RNA is filed under the name Nitrospira sp. enrichment culture clone JAC29. RNAcentral's name for it is "bacterial SSU rRNA". It matches the Rfam family "Bacterial small subunit ribosomal RNA", at positions 75 to 744 of the family's 1533-position model. Lineage: Bacteria; Pseudomonadati; Nitrospirota; Nitrospiria; Nitrospirales; Nitrospiraceae. The record is from RNAcentral.
UGUAGCAAUACACUUGUAAAGCGGCGAACGGGUGAGGAAUACAUGCGGUUCCUACCCUCGAGUGGGGAAUAACCAGCCGAAAGGUUGGCUAAUACCGCAUACGAUUCUCGGACUGCGGUUCGGGAAAGAAAGCGAUACCGUGGGUAUCGCGCUCUUGGAUGGGCUCAUGUCCUAUCAGCUUGUUGGUGAGGUAACGGCUCACCAAGGCUUCGACGGGUAGCUGGUCUGAGAGGACGAUCAGCCACACUGGCACUGCGACACGGGCCAGACUCCUACGGGAGGCAGCAGUAAGGAAUAUUGCGCAAUGGGCGACAGCCUGACGCAGCGACGCCGCGUGGGGGAUGAAGGUCUUCGGAUUGUAAACCCCUUUCGGGAGGGAAGAUGGGACGGGCAACCGUUCGGACGGUACCUCCAGGAGCAGCCACGGCUAACUUCGUGCCAGCAGCCGCGGUAAUACAAAGGUGGCAAGCGUUGUUCGGAUUUACUGGGCGUACAGGGAGCGUAGGCGGUUGGGUAAGCCCUCCGUGAAAUCUCCGGGCCUAACCCGGAAAGUGCGGAGGGGACUGCUCAGCUAGAGGAUGGGAGAGGAGCGCGGAAUUCCCGGUGUAGCGGUGAAAUGCGUAGAGAUCGGGAGGAAGGCCGGUGGCGAAGGCGGCGCUCUGGAACAUUUCUGAC